This is an RNA transcript of Gastrolobium bilobum, 1233 nucleotides long. RefSeq lists it as uncharacterized. The transcript is spliced from 7 exons. NCBI's taxonomy places the organism in Eukaryota, Viridiplantae, Streptophyta, Magnoliopsida, Fabales, Fabaceae. The record is from RefSeq and is a predicted model, not a curated record.
GUGAUUUUGUUGAACCACCUGAAGAUGUGAAACUCUUUGUUGGGAAUUUGCAUUUGACGCUGAGUACCGUUGAAGAAGCUGAGAAGGCUGUGGAGAAGUUCAACUGCUUUAGGUGAUUCUUACCUUGUUGCCCGUACGGAUGGUGUGGGAACAAAGUUCAAAGGAGUCUUCAUUGAAGAAUCUGCAAGAACUGGCAAGCCAAAUAUUCAGCAAAACCAAUUCAAUUGUAGAAACCCGAAAUACAGAGCCUGAUAACAAGAAGAAACAACAGAACAAGGAACUUCAUUCAAAUAGCAAUUUAAGCCCACUUGCAAGAUUUCUUCUCUCAAGGUUUAUGGAAGUUAUCAUUUGACCUCUGAUUCAUAAUAAUUAUUUUAUUGGUGAAUUUUUUUCUUGCUUUAGGGACUGGUGGCUUGCUAUUGGAACAAAUAGCAUCUCUCUAUUUAAAUCACACACUUCUUUGCAUUAUCUGUCUUGAAAUAUGCUUGUGAGUAAUGUAAUUUUUUGUUUUUAUAGAUGGUAAGGCCAAACCUCGCGGGAUCUAAAUCUAGCUUGAACGGAGUUAGAAUUUAUUUUUUGUUAUUGUCACCUGAAGAUUUGAUACCGAUACUUCCUUACAUCUACCCUGGAGAGCUAGCUUAUGCUAAAUAUUUCACGUGCUAUUUAAUGAAUGAGGCUAAUGAUAAUGAAGAUGGAAAAUUGUCACUCCAGGAGAUGCUUGAUCAUGAAUUUAUUUUUUACAACACAGUUGAUGCAGAUGGGCAUCAGGAAAGCGAUGAUGAACAUGAUGAGCUUUGAUGUUAUAAAAGGCAUUGUUGAUUACAAGGCUAUGAUUGUAUGGAUUCAGAGGUGGUCCUGCUGGCAUCAUGAAGUGCAAAUUCGUUAAACUCACCUCUGACUAUAUUUAUCCUUACUGAUAUCAGUUGCAGCGGGCCAACAGAGAUACUAGUUGCUUGUGUGUGGAAGAUGAACAACAAGGAGAAGAAGAGUGUGAGCAGGGACAAGAGCCUGAGAAGUUUCAUGGUGUAAGCUGUGGCAUUAACUUGCUCUGGACAAUGGAUAGCUUCUCCUGUUGCCCUUAAAAAGACAUUAGAUUCUUUCUUUACGAUAUACCAUUCAUUUAGUAGGAGAUAAAGUUACAAUUUAUACACACAUAAAAAUAAAAACACGUGAUUCGUAUUUUUUUUUCUCUGUAUGUUCUCUUUACAGAGUUUUUAUAUGACUUGGUACAUU